UACGAAGGGGGCUAGCGUUGUUCGGAAUUACUGGGCGUAAAGCGCGCGCAGGCGGCUAUCCAAGUCAGUGGUGAAAGCCCGGAGCUCAACUCCGGAACUGCCAUUGAAACUGUUUAGCUUGAGGAGUGGAGGGGGGACUGGAAUUCUCGGUGUAGCAGUGAAAUGCGUAGAUAUCGAGAGGAACACCAGUGGCGAAGGCGAGUCCCUGGACACUUCCUGACACUGAGGCACGAAAGCUAGGGGAGCAAACAGG
RNAcentral lists this ribosomal RNA (253 nucleotides) under uncultured bacterium. RNAcentral describes it as "partial 16S ribosomal RNA". It matches the Rfam family "Bacterial small subunit ribosomal RNA", at positions 524 to 776 of the family's 1533-position model. The record is from RNAcentral.